RNAcentral lists this ribosomal RNA (492 nucleotides) under uncultured bacterium. RNAcentral describes it as "partial 16S ribosomal RNA". It matches the Rfam family "Bacterial small subunit ribosomal RNA", at positions 29 to 507 of the family's 1533-position model. The record is from RNAcentral.
AGUGAACGCUGGCGGUAGGCCUAACACAUGCAAGUCGAACGGCAGCACAGUAAGAGCUUGCUCUUACGGGUGGCGAGUGGCGGACGGGUGAGGAAUACAUCGGAAUCUACUUUUUCGUGGGGGAUAACGUAGGGAAACUUACGCUAAUACCGCAUACGACCUACGGGUGAAAGCAGGGGAUCUUCGGACCUUGCGCGAUUGAAUGAGCCGAUGUCGGAUUAGCUAGCUGGCGGGGUAAAGGCCCACCAAGGCGACGAUCCGUAGCUGGUCUGAGAGGAUGAUCAGCCACACUGGAACUGAGACACGGUCCAGACUCCUACGGGAGGCAGCAGUGGGGAAUAUUGGACAAUGGGCGCAAGCCUGAUCCAGCCAUACCGCGUGGGUGAAGAAGGCCUUCGGGUUGUAAAGCCCUUUUGUUGGGAAAGAAAAGCAGCAGGUUAAUACCCCGCUGUUCUGACGGUACCCAAAGAAUAAGCACCGGCUAACCUCGUG